RNAcentral lists this ribosomal RNA (862 nucleotides) under uncultured Neocallimastigales. RNAcentral's name for it is "partial large subunit ribosomal RNA". It matches the Rfam family "Eukaryotic large subunit ribosomal RNA", at positions 1 to 646 of the family's 3401-position model. Lineage: Eukaryota; Fungi; Neocallimastigomycota; Neocallimastigomycetes; Neocallimastigales. The record is from RNAcentral.
GUAGUCUCGCACAGAUGCAUAUCAAUAAGCGGAGGAAAAGAGGGCUACUACCUACGCUUAGGAUGUUGACGAGACUGUCGAUCUCACCUAUACAUGACUCUGUGCAUAUCAAUAAGCGGAGGAAAAGAAACUAACAAGGAUUCCCCUAGUAACGGCGAGUGAAGCGGGAAGAGCUCAAAUUUGAAAUCUUAAAGGGUUUCCCUUUACGAAUUGUAGUUUAAAGGAAGUGUUUUCUGUUGAGGUUUUGGUAAAAGUUCUUUGGAAUAGGACAUCAUAGAGGGUGAGAAUCCCGUAUUUGACCUUUACUUUCAACUUUGUGAUACACUUUCAAAGAGUCAGAUUGUUUGGGAAUGCAGUUCAAGAUGGGUGGUAAAUUUCAUCUAAAGCUAAAUAUUGGCGAGAGACCGAUAGCGAACAAGUACCGUGAGGGAAAGAUGAAAAGAACUUUGAAAAGAGAGUUAAACAGUACGUGAAAUUGUCAAAAGGGAAGCGUUUGACACCAGUGCUGUUUUUCUGAAAAUCAAUUAAAGAACUGUUUAUGCUAAGUUGUUUAGACUUUAUCAGCUAACUGUUUAGUUUUGAGCUUUUCUUUAAUGCACUUUUCAGUUAACAAGUCAACAUCAAUUUCUUUUGCUGUAAAAAAGCUUGAGGAAGGUGGCUUGAGAUUCGUCUUAAGUGUUUAUAGCCUCUUGCCUAUGCAGUCGGAGAGAUUGAGGUCUGCAGCGUAGAUCCUUCGGGGCUAAAUGCAUUUGUGCUAAGUUAUAGCAUUUUAUAGACAACUUGUUGACUAUGAUUUGUCUUGUAGCUUACUCGCUUAUGUUAUUUUACCUACGCUUAGGAUGUUGAUCUGUAGUGCGUGCGC